AGUGAACGCUGGCGGUAGGCCUAACACAUGCAAGUCGAACGGCAGCACAGUAAGAGCUUGCUCUUACGGGUGGCGAGUGGCGGACGGGUGAGGAAUACAUCGGAAUCUACUUUUUCGUGGGGGAUAACGUAGGGAAACUUACGCUAAUACCGCAUACGACCUACGGGUGAAAGCAGGGGAUCUUCGGACCUUGCGAGAAUGAAUGGGCCGAUGUCGGAUUAGCUAGUUGGAGGGGUAAAGGCCCACCAAGGCGACGAUCCGUAGCUGGGCUGGGAGGAUGAUCAGCCACACUGGAACUGAGACACGGUCCAGACUCCUACGGGAGGCAGCAGUGGGGAAUAUUGGACAAUGGGAGCAAGCCUGAUCCAGCCAUGCCGCGUGGGUGAAGAAGACCUUCUGGUUGUAAAUCCCUUUUGUUGGGAAAGAAAAGCAGCAGGUUAAUACCCCGCUGUUCUGACGGUACCCAAAGAAUAAGCACCGGCUAACUUCGUG
This 492-nucleotide ribosomal RNA is filed under the name uncultured bacterium. Its description in RNAcentral is "partial 16S ribosomal RNA". It matches the Rfam family "Bacterial small subunit ribosomal RNA", at positions 29 to 507 of the family's 1533-position model. The record is from RNAcentral.